UCUGGGCAAUCGUAUUGGUUCC
RNAcentral lists this small RNA (22 nucleotides) under Arabidopsis thaliana (thale cress). Lineage: Eukaryota; Viridiplantae; Streptophyta; Magnoliopsida; Brassicales; Brassicaceae. The record is from RNAcentral.